UGGGGAAUAUUGCACAAUGGGCGCAAGCCUGAUGCAGCCAUGCCGCGUGUGUGAAGAAGGCCUUCGGGUUGUAAAGCACUUUCAGCGAGGAGGAAGGUGGUGAGCUUAAUACGCUCAUCAAUUGACGUUACUCGCAGAAGAAGCACCGGCUAACUCCGUGCCAGCAGCCGCGGUAAUACGGAGGGUGCAAGCGUUAAUCGGAAUUACUGGGCGUAAAGCGCACGCAGGCGGUUUGUUAAGUCAGAUGUGAAAUCCCCGGGCUCAACCUGGGAACUGCAUUUGAAACUGGCAAGCUAGAGUCUCGUAGAGGGGGGUAGAAUUCCAGGUGUAGCGGUGAAAUGCGUAGAGAUCUGGAGGAAUACCGGUGGCGAAGGCGGCCCCCUGGACGAAGACUGACGCUCAGGUGCGAAAGCGUGGGGAGCAAAACAGGAUUAGAUACCCUGGUAGUCCACGCUGUAAAACGAUGUCGAUUUUGGAGGUUGUGCCCUUGAGGCGUGGCUUCCGGAGCUAACGCGUUAAAUCGACCGCCUGGGGAGUACGGCCGCAAGGUUAAAAACU
This 558-nucleotide ribosomal RNA is filed under the name uncultured bacterium. Its description in RNAcentral is "partial 16S ribosomal RNA". It matches the Rfam family "Bacterial small subunit ribosomal RNA", at positions 355 to 901 of the family's 1533-position model. The record is from RNAcentral.